CGGCCAUAUGUCCAACAAACAUAUCUAUCAACUUCAUAUAUCUCUUUCAACGCCAUCAUUCUUCCAAAACCCUACCAAAGAAAACCGAGAGAGUUAGGAAAGAGAGAAAGGGCGCGGCGAUGGUGCCGUGUUGAGAAGAAGGCUGCAAAAGCUCCAACAGCGGGGCUGGCCGGCGAAGACUCCUACUCCGAUCAGCAGCCUCGCAACCUACGGACAGCAGCAAUGCACUGAUGAAACUCCGAGGAGGCAGCGGCGGCGGCGGUGUCGCAGCGAGGGGCUGGUGGAUCAAAGAGAGAGGGCUCGAGAUGGAGCGACGGCGGAGCAGCAACAUUAGUUCAGCAGCAAUGAUAGAUGGAGGAGUGACAGCGGCGGUGCGAAGCUGAUCAGGACAGCGAUGGCACAGCUUGUACACUCGACGAAUCCCGAACAACAGCGGCUGUUCUCAGCAACAGCAAUCACGGCUGCUCAUGAUGGACAGCGGCUACGAUGACAGAGAAUUACACCGAACAGCAGCGGCGUUAAGCGCCUGACGAUGAACGGUGGACAGAGACGACGAGUCCAUGGCGUCGGCGAAUUCGCCGCUGUGAUUUCUGCAGUGACGGCGUGGUGUUGAGCAAAUCAGAGCAGCGAUGGAGAGGGGGAAAGGCGUGAGGAAGUACAGGAUGGAGUAUUUGGGGAGUUUAAUUGCUGGAUUAGAGGUGGAUUUCAAGAGAGAGAGGCUGACCUUUGUUUCAAUUUGAGAUCCAGAGAGUUGUUGGAUUAGAAUGUUGAGAGAGAGACGUGGGGUAUUAAAGAGUUGGUUAAUGAUUUAAUUAGGAGACUUAGGCAGCUUGUUUAUUUGAGUUGGAAUGGAAUUUGAAUACAAGAAUGACGAGAGCUUCGGCGGAGUCAAUAGAUGGAUGAAUACGACGUUCUAAGAUUACGGGAAAAUUUCGGAAUCUCCUAAGUAAGAUCGCAGGGGUGAUUGUUGCAUGCUAUUUGAGAACGGAAAGGAUUGACAAGUGAAGAAUUUAAGAGAACGAGGUUGAGCUGUGACGAGGGCGGUGGGUGUUGAGCAUAAAAGUGAAGAAUGUUUAUCAAAUGUUCAGAAUAUGUUGUGUCUUCAUACACAGCAGAAUAAGUAUUCUGCUCUCGAAAUGCUUCCGCUGAAUGUUGUUUCUUUUGAGUUAAUGUAUAAGUUGAGAUAAUAUCAUUUUGAGUUGUUGAUUGUCGAAAUAAUACUCUGAUUUUAUUCGAGCUACUUCUAUUAUAUUGAGAUUUGGUCGA
Salvia hispanica is the source of this 1266-nucleotide non-coding RNA. Lineage: Eukaryota; Viridiplantae; Streptophyta; Magnoliopsida; Lamiales; Lamiaceae. The record is from RefSeq and is a predicted model, not a curated record.